CCCUGCCGCCGCCUCCUCGCCCUCCUCCUUCUUGUCCUUCGUCCACUCUUCUCAGCGGGCGCUCCACGGCCCUGCUCCGGGCUCGCCUGAGUGCUGGGCUCUGCAGACGCAGGGAUGGGCCAGGGGAGCCCCUGACCCCGGAGGGAGCAGGUCCAGAGGAGGCAGCAGAGGCUUCCUGGAGGAGUAAGAAGGCGCCUCCUCUGGAGGGCUGCAGCCCACCUCACCCACGCUGGGAAGAACGGGUGCGGAGAGCAGAGCUGGGAUUCGAUUUCAGCCUCAAACUUGUGAGCUGGGUCCAACCCACACAACCUUCUUUAGAGAAUGAGAUUCCAGGGCAUUGGCCACGCAAAACAACUGGCCCGCAGGUGCCACGAGCCAGUGUUAGGUCCACCCUGCCUCCCCUCUUGCCCCUUCACCUCCCUCACGGAUGGGCGGGUGCUGUUAGCGCUUGGCUUGGAAACCACCCUUUCUCAUCAGCAGCCUCCUGAGCCCUAGUCCCCCAAAGGGCAGCCCAGUGGCAAUGUCUGUAGCUACCCCACCAGAAAGGGACUUAGACCCCCAGAGAGCCCAGCACGGUGCUCCUGCCAUCAUCACUCCUUCUGUCCCUUGUUCAUUCAGUCAUUCAGCAAGCAUUUCAGGCCCUGAUCUGUGCCAACCCUCUGUUGGGCCUGCAGGUGCCAAGGUGAAUCAGGCAUGGUGCCAGCCCCAGAGAGGUCCCUGACUGGUGGGGAGACAGACCAUUAGCACACAGAAAUGCAGGCGUACUUUCACCUAUAUGUGCCAAACGCCCUUCAAGGCUCAAGGAUACAGUGUGGAAACAGAUAAGGUCCUUCCAUGCUCUCCUGCAGCUAUGUCUUAGUUGGAAGAGAUACACACAAAAUCAAGAAAACAAAAGAUUAUUUCAGGUCAUCAUAACUUCUAUGGAAAAAACAAAACAGACCAAUGUGAGAGCAGUGGGGGUAACUGUAGAGUAAGUGAUCAGGCAAGGCCUCACGGAGGAGGUGACGUUCCACUGAAUGGCAAAACGGAUCCUGCCCCAUGAAGAUCCAGCGGAAGGGUGCUCCUGGCAGAGGGAAUGGCAAUGCAGAGACCUCAAGGCUUUUGUACCCCUAGGAGAACUAUGUCUUCCUCAUCUUUGUCUUCAGAGGAUAAAUACAAGGAUUGACACAUAACAAGCGUUAGGCCCCAAAGUGCAAGAGGAGUGUUGCUGGUGAUUCCGAUAUGCUAAAGGGAAGCUGUAAAGUACUUCCUUUAAGUAGAAAGGUGAAAGUACUUGACUUAAUAAGAAAAUUUAAAAAACAAAAUUGUGUGCUGUGGUUGCUAAGCUCUACAGUAAGAAUGAUUCUAUUCAUGAAAUUGUGAAGAAGGAAAGAAAUUUGUGCUAGUUUUGCUGUUGCACCUCAAGCUACAAAAGUUACAACACCUGUGUGUGAUGAAUGCUUAGUAAUGAUGGAAAAGGCAUUAAAUUUGUGGGUGCUAGACACGAACAGAAACGUGUUCUGAUUGACGGUAAUCAGGUUCCACUAGGGGUAUUGGAACGCAUCCCCGAGGAUAAUGGGGGCUACUGUAUUCUACCAACUUACUCCUCUUGAAGAAUUCCCUUCGGAUUUCUGACUGCUGUGUCCUGGACUGCUUGAUGACAAGGCCAGCUGCCCUGGUUGUCACCUGGAGACUGUUCUGCACUUUUCUCCUGGGUCGAACCCCUCACUUGCUAGAUCCCAUGUCCUCCCCUUCUGGGUUGACUGCCUUAUUUGGGGGAACAUAUACCC
Molecule: long non-coding RNA, 1769 nt
Organism: Piliocolobus tephrosceles (Ugandan red Colobus)
Lineage: Eukaryota; Metazoa; Chordata; Mammalia; Primates; Cercopithecidae
Exons: 4
Source: RefSeq, a predicted model, not a curated record